This 445-nucleotide ribosomal RNA is filed under the name uncultured bacterium. RNAcentral describes it as "bacterial SSU rRNA". It matches the Rfam family "Bacterial small subunit ribosomal RNA", at positions 331 to 793 of the family's 1533-position model. The record is from RNAcentral.
CCAGACUCCUACGGGAGGCAGCAGUGGGGAAUAUUGCACAAUGGGGGGAACCCUGAUGCAGCGACGCCGCGUGGGUGAAGGAGCACCUCGGUGCGUAAAGCCCUAUCGGCAGGGAAGAAACAGACGGUACCUGACUAAGAAGCCCCGGCUAACUACGUGCCAGCAGCCGCGGUAAUACGUAGGGGGCAAGCGUUAUCCGGAUUUACUGGGUGUAAAGGGGGCGCAGACGGCGAUGCAAGCCAGGAGUGAAAGCCCGGGGCCCAACCCCGGGACUGCUCUUGGAACUGCGUGGCCGGAGUGCAGGAGGGGCAGGCGGAAUUCCUGGUGUAGCGGUGAAAUGCGUAGAUAUUAGGAGGAACACCAGUGGCGAAGGCGGCUUACUGGACUGUAACUGACGUUGAGGCUCGAAAGCGUGGGGAGCAAACAGGAUUAGAUACCCGGGAGG